AGUGAACGCUGGCGGUAGGCCUAACACAUGCAAGUCGAACGGCAGCACAGUAAGAGCUUGCUCUUACGGGUGGCGAGUGGCGGACGGGUGAGGAAUACAUCGGAAUCUACUUUUUCGUGGGGGAUAACGUAGGGAAACUUACGCUAAUACCGCAUACGACCUACGGAUGAAAGCAGGGGAUCUUCGGACCUUGCGCGAUUGAAUGAGCCGAUGUCGGAUUAGCUAGUUGGCGGGGUAAAGGCCCACCAAGGCGACGAUCCGUAGCUGGUCUGAGAGGAUGAUCAGCCACACUGGAGCUGAGACACGGUCCAGACUCCUACGGGAGGCAGCAGUGGGGAAUAUUGGACAAUGGGCGCAAGCCUGAUCCAGCCAUACCGCGUGGGUGAAGAAGGCCUUCGGGUUGUAAAGCCCUUUUGUUGGGAAAGAAAAGCAGCAGGUUAAUACCCCGCUGUUCUGACGGUACCCAAAGAAUAAGCACCGGCUAACUUCGUG
Molecule: ribosomal RNA, 492 nt
Filed under: uncultured bacterium
Lineage: Bacteria
Description: partial 16S ribosomal RNA
Rfam family: Bacterial small subunit ribosomal RNA
Source: RNAcentral